This is a long non-coding RNA of Manis pentadactyla (Chinese pangolin), 961 nucleotides long. RefSeq lists it as uncharacterized. The transcript has 3 exons. NCBI's taxonomy places the organism in Eukaryota, Metazoa, Chordata, Mammalia, Pholidota, Manidae. The record is from RefSeq and is a predicted model, not a curated record.
AGCCGCACAGGAAGUACCACGUCCAGCUGCUCUUUGCUGAAGUUCUCAUAGCAGACAUUGUUUCCUUUGGCUGAUGGUGGAUGGAUUACGCCUGUGCACUUCCACCCCACGAUGCCACCCCGUUACCGCCACUGGGCUUCCUGCUCCUCAGACGCCCCGGGCCCUUACUCUGUUCAAGGCAUUGUGCAGAUGCCUGGUAUCGGCCUUUGCGUCCUCCAAACUUGAGGGCAUGCCAAGCCCUGCCAGCAUCUGUGCUGAAAUCCGUCUGUUGUGCAUCGUAUCUGUGAGCGGGCAACUCCCUGCCUUCCUCCUGCUGGGGCCAGAACACAGAGCCCUCCCAGCUCUCCAGAACAGCCCUCGCUGCCUGCCUCUUCCACCGCCCAGCUCCUUCUAUUUGGCGUAGAGGUGGGUCUCCAGCUGGUGCUGACAAAACCGGUUUCCAGAGGUCCUCUGGAUGGUAGAACACCUCCCACCAGGCGGGCAUGCAACGGGCCUUGGUGUCUGUUGUUUGUCCUUGGCUCAAACGCAAAAAGCAAAGGUCUCCUUCGGAACCCUGUGUGUGUUUCACAGAUGUGCCUUUCAUGCCGUCAUGUGUAAAGAAGGCAGAAUGAUGCCAACCCGACACAAUGAUUUUACAACUUAAAGGGAUCGUCCAUGGGGAAAACCUCAUCCAAAUUGCCAAGUGGUCCAGCAGCUGCACUGUGACGCCUGUUUGCCAGACAACCUCACAGGAAGCGCAGCGACUUUGCCCUUGUCAGCCACACUACGCCAGGCCUCCAGGGACGCCCGAGUUUCCAGCAGGCCUAGAGCACUGGUUAUAACUUAACCUUCCCUCCUACUGAGGAGUGCUUGUGAGCCAGACUCCCGGCGCUGUGGGGACAGCCUUGGCUGGGCGCUGUUGUUUGGGAAUUAGUUACCAUGUUACAAUUCCGCUCUCUAGCUGUUGUGGUAAGAGGUUCCC